This is an RNA transcript of Olea europaea var. sylvestris, 2971 nucleotides long. It is a transcript of the gene named zinc finger protein VAR3, chloroplastic, with no coding region annotated. NCBI's taxonomy places the organism in Eukaryota, Viridiplantae, Streptophyta, Magnoliopsida, Lamiales, Oleaceae. The record is from RefSeq and is a predicted model, not a curated record. The transcript is spliced from 6 exons.
UGUAUGGAAGUGCAGUGUCAAGGGUUUAAGCAUUCCCCCUUCGUGUUCCAUGGAAGGGUUUUAGUUUUCCACUUGUUUUUCCUCUCUCUAAAACAAGAAAUGGUCUUCUCUCACCUUCUCCUCAGGCGCCUAAAAUGCCACCCAAUUGCAAAACCUCAACCUUUCGUCGUCUACAAAAUUCCCCAAAACCCCUUAUCUUCCCUCCCCAGCACGGAUUCCGCACAAUCCAAUCCCACCCCUGCCGCCGAGCAACCCACCUCCUUGUCAGCUCGGAUGAGCUUCGUCUUCGAACAAAUUGAUGCCAUCGAUAAACAACGGACCGAAAAGGACCAAACCUUGCAGCGCAUCCGCGCUUGGCGCGAAUCCAAGAGGCAAAACCCCACUGAGUCAAUCCGGGAUUCAUCCAAGGCUGAUUCAGAAGAGGAACUUCAGUCUGGAUUCGUACAAGAGAUUAAGGAUGAGAAUCGUAGUGAAGGGUUGUUAGCGAAUGUGAAACGGGAGGUGGAGUUGGUGCACCCGUGGCCGGAGUGGAUAGAGCUGAUGGAGAGGCUGGUGCAGCAGAAUUAUUUCGAUCACAGGAGGAAAGAUGAAGAUGGUAUGAUGGAAAAGCUAGGUUUCGAUGUAUCUGAAGCUGCUGAGGACAAAGUAGCUGAUUUUACCCGGGAUUUUAAGAGUGUACAAACUGCGGUCCUCAAUUUCGGCAAAGACCGCUUUGAUAUUUUGAGGUCAUUGUCAAGACAGGAUAUCCAAAUAUUGGUUGGUUAUGGAUGCCCUAGUACAGACAAAAGGGUGGUUUUUUCUGCAAAAUUGUUGAGGAAGCAUGUGCAUUUGGAUGAAGGAGAUGUCUGCAGUUCCUGCAGUUUGAGGAGUUCUUGUGAAAAAGCAUAUCUUCUAACAAAUAAAGAGGAUGAACCAAGGACUAUUGAUGUCAUGCGAGUCCUACUGUCUUAUGGUUUUGAUCCAGUGAAUGGAUCAGUCAGUAAUAUGUCCCUUUUGAAAAUGAAAUCUGUUAAGACUGUUGUCCGUAAGUUGAUCCAUGAGGUAGUCAAGUUAGGUUCAGUUCCUAUAGAUCCAAGUCUUCCUUCACCUGUUAUUAAGAAGCCUCCGCCGAAGGUGAAGCAACCACCUCCCCCUCCAAAGAAACGAGUCGGACGUGAUGACAUUGAAAUGAAGAAGGGCGAUUGGCUUUGUCCAAAGUGCGACUUUAUGAACUUUGCAAAAAAUACUGUGUGCCUGCAAUGUGACGCCAAGCGCCCUAAAAGACAGUUGCUUCCAGGGGAAUGGGAGUGCCCCCAGUGCAAUUUCUUGAACUAUAGGAGAAACACAGUAUGUUUUCAUUGUGAGCACAAUCGCCCAGCUGAUACAUAUACAGAGCCCCAAUUUCCGGAAAAGCGACAUGGUAACAGGUUGAGGGCGGAAAAGAUCUCUAGCACGGAAGAGGUUUCUAAUGCAUGGAAUUUUGAUUUUGAUGACAACGAAUCGGAUGGAGCAGAUGUAGCUUCAUUUGAAUAUGCAGAUUCUAAGAUACCAGGUGAUGAUUUUCCGUUAAGUCAGCAAGCCAUUGGUGAAAUUUCUAAAGGAGAUGAAGAUGGUUUCUACAAAAGCAGCAGGCCUCCAAGGAUGAAUGAACCAGAGUAUUCUGAUAAACCUAGAACAGGAUUCAACGAUUUUGAUGAAGAAGAUGAUAUUGACAAUUACGAGUUAGAUACUCGAAAUGAGGUAUCGAAGACUUCUCGAAUAGGUUUCUCUGAACUUGAAUCUGACUCUGGAUCUGAAGAUAUAGAAAGUAAUGACCGGAAUUGGAAUGCUCGUGAUAGAACUAGUUCUCGGACGCACAGCAAGAAACCAUCACAUCAUAAAGAGUCAUUCUCUGGUUCUGAGGAUGCUGAAGUAGACUUUGAUUCUGGUGACGACCUUCCAGUUCAUCCGAAUUGGAAAUCAACCCAUGUUGCAAAUUUUAAACAGAGAACUAGAGAUAGACGUCCCCUAAGUUUUGGUUCAGACGAUGACCUUGGGUACAGUUCUGGCAGUGAUGAAACUUUUAGAUCCAGGCAAAAUGAAGGGAGAGGACGGGGUUCUAACAGAAUUGCAUUCAAGAAACGAGGAAGAUCUAAUAUUGGAGCUGGACCUUUCUCAGAAUCUGAUGAUGACCUAGGUUAUCGCAGAGAUGAACGAAAAGGUAAAAAUGCAGGACUGAAUCGCCGAGGAAAAUCUUCAACUGGCCGUGGGGGUAUGAUGGGUUAUCGGAAAAACUCUCCGAGGGAUGAUAUGGACAGAUCUUCCCAAGGUCCCCGCUAUGAUAGAGGUACUCGAGAGAAUGGUUAUGAGCAAGGAAGGAAUGCUAGAGAUAGUGGCUCGCCAAAGUUCCGAAGCCCGAGACGAGGAGGGUCAUUUAAUAAUCAAGGAGGAAGAUCUGAUAGUUUUGAUAAUCGAUCGGACAGUUAUCUGGACGAUGAGAGAUACCGGAGGCCAAGGGUAAACGUACGAUGAAUGUAGCAUUGUCUACGAACAAAGUCCUCAUGAGGGAAGCAGGCUGCUGAUACUCUCGGGGAACAACUUGCUCAUUUUCAUCUGAUGCAAAUUAACAAGACUUUUGCUUGAGAAGACGAUGACUUUCCAAGAAAUUGGGCUCGAAAUAAAACCCAGAGGAAGUCGUCAUAGUAAUUACCAUGGAGAAUGGUAGUAUUUGGAUGUUCGAUCUCCAAAUCCUCGAUGGCUGCUGCGAAUGCUCGUUAUGAUAGAUUGAGGAGCAUAAUGCCAAUAAAAAAACAGUGGAGAUUAAAAUUGCAGGAGGCGCUAUAGAUUGAGGACUGCAGCUGCAAUUUCCCUUAAUUGCACAAAUUAAGGAACAUCUUAUACAAUUAACUAAUCGAUUAUUAUUUCAAAUUGUGAAUGUUUUGCUUAUGAGUAAUCCCAUUCUCUUCUUGUAAUACAAUGAACACAAGAAAUUGUAAAUUCCAUAUUCGACUAA